CCAACCUCUUUGACCAAAUGAUGGAUGCUAUCGUCUUCGCCAUGAAACGGCUCGGGUACCCGGAUAUCCGGCUUUUCAUCGCGGAAACGGGUUGGCCCAACAACGGAGACUUCGACCAAAUCGGAGCCAAUAUUUACAAUGCUGCCACUUACAAUCGCAACGUGGUCAAAAGACUCACAGCCAAACCCGCCUUUGGCACCCCAGCCCGACCCGGAUCGGUGAUACCUUCUUUCAUAUUCGCAUUAUAUAAUGAGAAUCAAAAACCAGGUCCUGGCACGGAGCGGCAUUUCGGGUUACUAUACCCUAACGGUUCAAAAGUCUACGAGAUAGAUCUAAGUGG
This 340-nucleotide unclassified non-coding RNA is filed under the name Hevea brasiliensis (rubber tree). Lineage: Eukaryota; Viridiplantae; Streptophyta; Magnoliopsida; Malpighiales; Euphorbiaceae. The record is from RNAcentral.